Molecule: ribosomal RNA, 250 nt
Filed under: uncultured bacterium
Lineage: Bacteria
Description: partial 16S ribosomal RNA
Rfam family: Bacterial small subunit ribosomal RNA
Source: RNAcentral
AGAGGGGGCAAGCGUUGUUCGGAAUUACUGGGCGUAAAGGGCGCGUAGGCGGCCUGCUAAGUCGAACGUGAAAUCCCCGGGCUCAACCCGGGAACUGCGUCCGAUACUGGCAGGCUUGAAUCCGGGAGAGGGAUGCGGAAUUCCAGGUGUAGCGGUGAAAUGCGUAGAUAUCUGGAGGAACACCGGUGGCGAAGGCGGCAUCCUGGACCGGCAUUGACGCUGAGGCGCGAAAGCCAGGGGAGCAAACGGG